RNAcentral lists this ribosomal RNA (496 nucleotides) under uncultured Roseburia sp. RNAcentral's name for it is "bacterial SSU rRNA". It matches the Rfam family "Bacterial small subunit ribosomal RNA", at positions 10 to 507 of the family's 1533-position model. Lineage: Bacteria; Bacillati; Bacillota; Clostridia; Lachnospirales; Lachnospiraceae. The record is from RNAcentral.
AGUUUGAUCCUGGCUCAGGAUGAACGCUGGCGGCGUGCCUAACACAUGCAAGUCGAACGAAGCGCUAUAGUUGGAUUCUUCGGAAAAGAGUAUAGUGACUGAGUGGCGGACGGGUGAGUAACGCGUGGGCAACCUGCCCCAUACAGGGGGAUAACAGUUAGAAAUGACUGCUAAUACCGCAUAAGCGCACGGCAACGCAUGUUGCUGUGUGAAAAACUCCGGUGGUAUGGGAUGGACCCGCGUCUGAUUAGCCAGUUGGCAGGGUAACGGCCUACCAAAGCGACGAUCAGUAGCCGGCCUGAGAGGGUGGACGGCCACAUUGGGACUGAGGCACGGCCCAAACUCCUACGGGAGGCAGCAGUGGGGAAUAUUGCACAAUGGGGGGAACCCUGAUGCAGCGACGCCGCGUGAGCGAAGAAGUAUUUCGGUAUGUAAAGCUCUAUCAGCAGGGAAGAAAAUGACGGUACCUGACUAAGAAGCACCGGCUAAAUACGUG